UAAAAGCUUAGGUUAAUUUAAACCCGGGGCCUUCAAAGCCCCAAACAAGGGCUCACCCCCCUUAGCUUUUG
Molecule: transfer RNA, 71 nt
Filed under: Trachylepis varia
Lineage: Eukaryota; Metazoa; Chordata; Lepidosauria; Squamata; Scincidae
Description: tRNA-Trp
Source: RNAcentral